UACGUAGGUGACAAGCGUUGUCCGGAUUUACUGGGCGUAAAGAGCGCGCAGGCGGUCGUUCAAGUCGAGCGUGAAAGCCCCCGGCUCAACUGGGGAGGGUCACUCGAUACUGAUCGACUCGAAGGCAGGAGAGGGUAGUGGAAUUCCCGGUGUAGUGGUGAAAUGCGUAGAUAUCGGGAGGAACACCAGUGGCGAAGGCGACUACCUGGCCUGUUCUUGACGCUGAGGCGCGAAAGCUAGGGGAGCAAACGGG
This 253-nucleotide ribosomal RNA is filed under the name uncultured bacterium. RNAcentral's name for it is "partial 16S ribosomal RNA". It matches the Rfam family "Bacterial small subunit ribosomal RNA", at positions 524 to 776 of the family's 1533-position model. The record is from RNAcentral.